Molecule: ribosomal RNA, 429 nt
Filed under: Gemmatimonadota bacterium
Lineage: Bacteria; Pseudomonadati; Gemmatimonadota
Also listed under: 1 other name
Description: Gemmatimonadetes bacterium partial 16S ribosomal RNA
Rfam family: Bacterial small subunit ribosomal RNA
Source: RNAcentral
UAGGGAAUCUUCGGCAAUGGACGAAAGUCUGACCGAGCAACGCCGCGUGAGUGAAGAAGGUUUUCGGAUCGUAAAACUCUGUUGUUAGAGAAGAACAAGGACGUUAGUAACUGAACGUCCCCUGACGGUAUCUAACCAGAAAGCCACGGCUAACUACGUGCCAGCAGCCGCGGUAAUACGUAGGUGGCAAGCGUUGUCCGGAUUUAUUGGGCGUAAAGCGAGCGCAGGCGGUUUCUUAAGUCUGAUGUGAAAGCCCCCGGCUCAACCGGGGAGGGUCAUUGGAAACUGGGAGACUUGAGUGCAGAAGAGGAGAGUGGAAUUCCAUGUGUAGCGGUGAAAUGCGUAGAUAUAUGGAGGAACACCAGUGGCGAAGGCGGCUCUCUGGUCUGUAACUGACGCUGAGGCUCGAAAGCGUGGGUAGCAAACAGG